Gasterosteus aculeatus aculeatus (three-spined stickleback) is the source of this 2913-nucleotide long non-coding RNA. Lineage: Eukaryota; Metazoa; Chordata; Actinopteri; Perciformes; Gasterosteidae. The record is from Ensembl.
AGUCUAUAUUUCCACUGCAACAACCUGAAGAUAACCAAACCCACACGUUUAGAUUCCUUUUAUAAAACAGAGACAAAGCUGUUUGCUCCAGUUGUACUAUGCAGAAAUACUUCAAACCAGCGUGUGACUGCCUUCACCGUUCAACAUCAUUUCUAGGGGGAGUUACGGUGACUUGGGAACAAUGUGUGGAUCUGGUCAGUGAAGCGACCUCCUAGUGUGAGUCAGGAGCUUUGAAGAACAGGUGACCUUCCACAACGUUGAAGCCAUUGAAACCACCCACCUGGUCUGCUGCCUGAAUCCCCAGCAGGAGCUCCAGUUUUUGCGGCGUUCUUCUUCUUCCUCGGGAGGAGCAGCGGAGAGUAGCCAGGAGUCGCUCCACCCGGGCAUGAACACGUUGCUUAUCCUCGUCAUCACCAUGGUUUUCGCGCUUGCGGUUGGCUCCUCGAUGUCUUUGGUUUCAGGCUGAAUACCCGACAUCUUCCAUGAACCCUCCCAGUCCGAAGGCUCUUCCUGUUUGACAAUCACAAGGCACAUUUGUAAUAUCUUAACGGGUGUUCUGGUUGCUCAGUGAUUAUAAAUCAUGGACAUCUGACAUUUUAAAGGCAAAAAGAUUCCAAUCCCCACCUGCUCCUCUAGUUGUUGUACUUGGUCAAACUUGUUGCUGCAGAUUUGUUGAUAUUCAGGCCAGAUACGAUCCCAAUUCUUCUUUUCCUGUCUGAAGGCAAAGUUCAUCAUCUUCCAAGUACCGGCCCAGACAGGAAGAGAAAACACUUCUAUCUCAGUUUGGCAAUUCAUCAUUCUUUCAAAUAAAAUGUUCGACUGGGAUUGUUUCUCCUCCGAGCGCUCCAGCUGGGCAGGACUCCUCACCUGAAUAAUUGGAACAAUGAAGACACAAGAUGAUUGACCAAGUGUUUUGCACCUAUUGACCAGUUGUCUCCACUCUUUAAUCUGGGAAGGUCAUGAAUGAAUGAGACAGUGUGUGAGACAGAGGUGGAAUGAUUCAUUGACAGAUGGACGAGACAAACGCACCAUGUGAUCAGUUUUGAACAAAUGUCUCAACACUUGAUUGAGGCGGUUUGAGGAAAAGGGCUUUGUUCUGACAUGGCGAACAUUUAGUCUUUGCCGUUUUUGAUGUCUGCGUCUUCACUGAUAUAUAUAUUAUGCCUCGUUACGUUAACGCAUUAUUAUUGUGUUAACGCAUUCAUUCAUUAAAGCAGACAAUUAUUUGAUUGCAUGUUAACGCAGUUUUAAAAGAAUAAUUCUUUUGAAAGUCUGGUGCUCACAGGCGCUGAAUACACAUACAGACAAACUAUGGGUUGCAGAACGUCAGUAUGGGCUUGGCCUUCAUCAACCAAUGAGAGCAUUUGUGGGUGGGGCCUAAGAAUGCUGCAGCAUGGAACAGAAAAAUGGAGAAGGCUAGCAAACUCUUAUUAUUUUCUUAUUUCGACUGAGAUUCUACAAAGGAAAUCCAGUAAAAAGAUGAACUUCACAGACUAAAGGGUGUCUGCGCUGUAAGUACCAGUACUUAGUGCUGGACCACUUCAUUCCAACAGGGAACACACUUAGAUACAUAUUUUAUUGCUUGAUAGAUUUUCGAAAGAUAGAUAGAUAGAGAAAACAGAUAUAUGAAUAUUAACUUACUUGUUAUGAUAAAUAACAACAAUCUAAAUAAAACAUGGCUACCCUGACACUGGCAAAUAGCUUUGGUUUUAUAUUUAAUUACAUACAUGUUUUUAUUAAAGUAAAUAGGUAGUCAAAUUUAUUCAUAGAAUCCUUUUCACAGACUUGGAUGACAAAGUGCUUCAAAGAAUUCAACGAGAAGAGAAAAACACAACGUGACCGGCCAAUGAAUAUCACACACACACAAGAGAAUGCACAAUGUGAAACAGAGAUUAAAGCAGGAAUAAGACCUGGGUUUUACAAAAACGGCAGUUUAAAAAGGUGCAUUUUGAGCUGCUGAGUGAACACGUAGGGACGCAGGCAGAGCGUUCUACAAUGGCCACAAACUGCUGCGACAUCGUCUUUAACGGGACAAACAAACCGUGUGUUCUUUUCCUUUUGUCUGCAACCAAGCAGACAAAUUUCUAUUAUUCGGACCAAUCUGACGAAUCCGGGUAGAAUGAGAACAAGUGCAGCAAUUAUUUAGAAACAAAGUCUUUCUGCAUGAUGCAUUCCCUACACCUUUUAGCAGCAGCCAUGAGUCACACACCUUUUGCAUAAUAUGACCAACACUUGAACAAUGUUCUGGGAUCUAAGUGUCUUUUAGUACGGAAUCAGUGUGUCAGUUCUAGUACCUGUUUCCAGGAGUCACGCCAUUCAUCAGCAGGAGACGCCCAUUGGUCCUCCAGUCCGUAUUCCUUUGGUUUGUAUUCCCUGUUGUUAGUCAGUUCUAUGGUUGUGAACCCUGGGAUUUGGGUUUUUAUCUCUUUGGCCUUCAGGUAGAGAUACUUUGGUGGCUUCAGGCUCAUCCAGGAGUCUUUCCAGCAGAGCUUAAAUACAUCCACUUCAACUUUACGUUUUGGCCUAUGAAGUUUGGGCGAAGCUGCUUUCUUGGGGGGAGGAGGGGGAGCGGGCUCAUGUCUGGGUUUGGGAGGAGGGGGGACUACUUUGAAUUUAAUUUUUGGCUUGUUUUCCUCUUCAUCUGCUCCGCUGGUGAGCUUCUUGAAGUCUCCAUUGGAAACAAGUGACCAGUGAUAAUUCCACUUUUGAGAAAGAUCUACACAUUAAAACAAACAAAAGAGAAACAAAUGGAAUCAACUCAUAUAUUGUCAUAAUUAGAGAUCACAUAGCUCUGGCAAAUACAGACAUGUGUUGCAAGCUGCGCUGCCAGUGUGAAUAAUACGGCGACCCCUGAUUGCCAGUGGCUAUUUUGCACACGACCUGCCGCCAUUGUGCCAAGUUAUUAACCGUGUU